Molecule: ribosomal RNA, 648 nt
Filed under: Planoglabratella opercularis
Lineage: Eukaryota; Foraminifera; Rotaliida; Glabratellidae
Description: partial large subunit ribosomal RNA
Rfam family: Eukaryotic large subunit ribosomal RNA
Source: RNAcentral
CACAUCAGCUCGAGUGAGGAUACGCGCUAAACUUAAACAUAUCAGUCGGCGCACGCAAUAAAAACUAACCAGGAUUCCCUUAGUAACGGCGAGUGAAGUGGGAAACAUACUCGUUCAGCCCAACGAUAAAAUCCAUUCUUAGCUGGCUAGGCUUCUGUCUUCCAGCUGGAGGGAAUUGUAGCAUCGUAAAAUAAAUACACAAACACACACAAUACACUGUGUAAAAAAACAUAUCAAAUGUUGUAUCUAACUUAACGUAAAAAAAUUACAUCGUUGCAACUACAUACUUACCCAAACACACAGCGUUUAGCGCUGGAAAGCAAGUCUAUUACACGCCAUAGAGUGUGACAGCCACGUUUGCCUUUGGUAAACUUAACUACACGCAAUGUAUUGUAUGCUUUUACAAGAUACGUAAUUCAUUCGAUCAAUAACUAACAAACUUUAACCCUGAGUCGAGUUGUUUGGGACUACAGCUCAAAUUGUUUGGUGGUGGUAAUGACACAUCAAAGGCUAAAUAUUGGUGUUUAAUACGAUUGCAACGGAGACCGAUAGCAAACAAGUACCGUAAGGAAACGAUGAAAAGCAUCCUUUUUAGCACGUGCGUCACUCUGUGUACGUACAAGCUCCAUCGGGAGUGAAAGAGAGAGU